AUGGCGCUCCUGCUGCUGCGCGGCUGCCUCGCCCCCGUCAACGCCGCCGGCCCGGCGUUCCGGCCAGCGGAGACGACGAGCCGGAUUGGUUACCGGCCGUCCCGGUUCCGUGCCAUCGUCGCCUCGGCCGCCGCGGCCUCGCCGUCCGGCGGCGACGGCACGACCGCCGCGGUGGACUCGGUGCUGCGUGGCUCGGAGGGACACAAGGCGCGCGACUACGGCGGGACCAACGGCGCCGCUGUUUCCGGCACCGCCAGGUCCACGACCAUCGAGACCACCGUCGAGAGGAUCAUCUUCGACUUCCGGUUCCUGGCUCUCCUCGCCGUCGCCGGGUCGCUGGCGGGCUCCCUCCUCUGCUUCCUCAAUGGCUGCGUGUACAUCAAAGAGGCGUACUGCGUCUACUGGACGAGCUGCGCCAAAGGUGUCCAUACAGGGCAGAUGGUCCUCAAGGUCGUGGAGGCCAUUGAUGUGUAUCUUGCUGGCACUGUGAUGCUCAUCUUCGGGAUGGGUCUCUACGGGCUGUUCAUCAGCAACGCGUCCAACGAUCUGCCCUCCGGAUCCGACCGGGCUCUGCAGGGAUCGUCGCUGUUUGGGAUGUUCGCUCUGAAGGAGAGGCCGAAGUGGAUGAAGAUCACGUCGCUGGACGAGCUCAAGACGAAGGUGGGGCACGUCAUCGUGAUGAUCCUGCUGGUGAAGAUGUUCGAGCGGAGCAAAAUGGUGAAGAUCACCACGGGGCUGGACCUGCUCAGCUACUCGGUCUGCAUCUUCCUCUCCUCGGCCUCCCUCUACAUCCUCCACAACCUCCACCGGCCCGAGCACGAGGAGUCGGUCAUGCCCCAUUUGUAA
Molecule: ribosomal RNA, 846 nt
Filed under: Triticum aestivum (bread wheat)
Lineage: Eukaryota; Viridiplantae; Streptophyta; Magnoliopsida; Poales; Poaceae
Description: partial small subunit ribosomal RNA
Source: RNAcentral